CUUCUACACUGAGGAGCACUCCUUCCCACACAGAGCGGGACUCACUGUACAAGGCAGCAUGGCCUCGUAUUUCAUAAUUAUGGUACAACAGCCAAGGUUACCCCUGGAGAGACUCCAACUCAGGCUUCAAUGAGCUCUGUGAGAUGAGUAAACCAAAAUUGAUGAAAACUAGCAGAGGAUACAGGAUGAAAAGGAGCACAAGGAAAGAUGAAAGACAGAAGAACCAAGGAGCACUGCCUAGACCCUAACAAUGUGAGAAGCUGCAAAAGAUAAGGUUAAACAAGAUGUAGCCAGAGGCAGAUAGAAACCUCCCUUGCUGUUCACGAAGGACAGAUGUGUGCUCACCACAGCGCCUCUGACCUUACUGUUCACCUAAGCAGCGGUGGGACAUCUGAAGGAGCCUUAAUUCCUGAUGCAAAAUACAACAGAGAG
Molecule: long non-coding RNA, 432 nt
Organism: Gallus gallus (chicken)
Lineage: Eukaryota; Metazoa; Chordata; Aves; Galliformes; Phasianidae
Source: Ensembl